AUUGAACGCUGGCGGAAUGCUUUACACAUGCAAGUCGAGCGGCAGCGCGGGGCAACCUGGCGGCGAGCGGCGAACGGGUGAGUAAUGCAUCGGAACAUGUCCAUGUCGUGGGGGAUAGCCCGGCGAAAGCCGGAUUAAUACCGCAUACGUCCGAGAGGAGAAAGUGGGGACCCGGCAAGGGCCUCACGCGAUUGGGUUGGCCGAUGUCCGAUUAGCUAGUUGGUGAGGUAAAGGCUCACCAAGGCGAUGAUCGGUAGCUGGUCUGAGAGGAUGAUCAGCCACACUGGGACUGAGACACGGCCCAGACUCCUAC
RNAcentral lists this ribosomal RNA (313 nucleotides) under uncultured bacterium. RNAcentral's name for it is "bacterial SSU rRNA". It matches the Rfam family "Bacterial small subunit ribosomal RNA", at positions 30 to 342 of the family's 1533-position model. The record is from RNAcentral.